This 145-nucleotide ribosomal RNA is filed under the name uncultured bacterium. RNAcentral's name for it is "partial 16S ribosomal RNA". It matches the Rfam family "Bacterial small subunit ribosomal RNA", at positions 1382 to 1532 of the family's 1533-position model. The record is from RNAcentral.
UGUACACACCGCCCGUCACACCGUGGGAGUCGAACUCAUUCGAAGCGGGGAUGCUAAAAUAGCUUCCUUCCACAGUGGAUUUGGCGACUGGGGUGAAGUCGUAACAAGGUAACCGUAGGAGAACCUGCGGGUGGGUCACCUCCUU